This 569-nucleotide long non-coding RNA is filed under the name Chlamydomonas reinhardtii. Its description in RNAcentral is "long non-coding RNA (CREI_LNC000820)". Lineage: Eukaryota; Viridiplantae; Chlorophyta; Chlorophyceae; Chlamydomonadales; Chlamydomonadaceae. The record is from RNAcentral.
UCGUACGUCGCCCAUGCAAUCCAGACUGCAGUGCGAGCUCUACGUAUAACCUUCGGUCUCAGUCAUCUGGGAGAUUUUGCGGGCGCCGCGCCACGGACAAUGCCACCCAGGCUCGGCCAACAAACCCGCUCGGCGAGCAAAGCAGUUCGCAAUACACAAGUUCUACCCACCUUCGGAGCAGGAAGUAAGCAACCCGGGCGCCGAGGAAUUGGGAGCGCCAGGGCCAGGGCAGCAGGGCCAGGGAUGGAUGGCGCGGGAGGGGGGGGGCAAGGUAAGGCGCGGGGAUGCAACAGGCCCCUCGUGCCCGCGUGAGUCGUGUGCGUGCGUGCUCCCCUCAUGCCCGCAUAAGUCGUGUGCUCCUCUCACGCCCUCGUGAGUCGCCCGAUCAUGUAUGUGCUCCCGCAGUUGUCGCUGCACCCAGCGUUCCCUCUAGCACAUGCCGUGCUGGGCGGCUAGCUGCGCUGUCAGCACUACGGCACAAUGAACGCGCCGAGGUGGCGAGGUUGGCGUGCGUGGACAGCAGGAACGGGCACCGCUUGCGGUUGCAUGCAUCCAGCUCGCUCACCCGG